CGGGAUGACGGCCUUCGGGUUGUAAACCGCUUUUGAUUGGGAGCAAGCGAGAGUGAGUGUACCUUUCGAAUAAGCACCGGCUAACUACGUGCCAGCAGCCGCGGUAAUACGUAGGGUGCAAGCGUUAUCCGGAAUUAUUGGGCGUAAAGAGCUCGUAGGCGGUUCGUCGCGUCUGGUGUGAAAGUCCAUCGCUUAACGGUGGAUCUGCGCCGGGUACGGGCGGACUGGAGUGCGGUAGGGGAGACUGGAAUUCCCGGUGUAACGGUGGAAUGUGUAGAUAUCGGGAAGAACACCAAUGGCGAAGGCAGGUCUCUGGGCCGUUACUGACGCUGAGGAGCGAAAGCGUGGGGAGCGAACAGGAUUAGAUACCCUGGUAGUCCACGCCGUAAACGGUGGAUGCUGGAUGUGGGGCCCGUUCCACGGGUUCCGUGUCGGAGCUAACGCGUUAAGCAUCCCGCCUGGGGAGUACGGCCGCAAGGCUAAAACUCAAAGAAAUUGACGGGGGCCCGCACAAGCGGCGGAGCAUGCGGAUUAAUUCGAUGCAACGCGAAGAACCUUACCUGGGCUUGACAUGUGCCGGACGACCGCGGAGACGUGGUUUCCCUUCGGGGCCGGUUCACAGGUGGUGCAUGGUCGUCGUCAGCUCGUGUCGUGAGAUGUUGGGUCAAGUCCCGCAACGAGCGCAACCCUCGCCUCGUGUUGCCAGCGGGUCAUGCCGGGAACUCACGGGGGACCGCCGGGGUUAACCCGGAGGAAGGUGGGGAUGACGUCAGAUCAUCAUGCCCCUUACGUCCAGGGCUUCACGCAUGCUACAAUGGCCGGUACAACGGGAUGCGACAUGGCGACAUGGAGCGGAUCCCUUAAAACCGGUCUCAGUUCGGAUCGGAGCCUGCAACCCGGCUCCGUGAAGGCGGAGUCGCUAGUAAUCGCGGAUCAGCAACGCCGCGGUGAAUGCGUUCCCGGGCCUUGUACACACCGCCCGUCAAGUCAU
Molecule: ribosomal RNA, 991 nt
Filed under: Bifidobacterium coryneforme
Lineage: Bacteria; Bacillati; Actinomycetota; Actinomycetes; Bifidobacteriales; Bifidobacteriaceae
Description: bacterial SSU rRNA
Rfam family: Bacterial small subunit ribosomal RNA
Source: RNAcentral